CGCUGGCGGCGUGCCUAACACAUGCAAGUCGAACGGGAAAAGAGAGCUUGCUUUCUUUUCUAGUGGCGGACGGGUGAGUAAUGCGUGAGCAACCUGCCUGUUAGAGGGGGAUAACGUUCGGAAACGAAUGCUAAUACCGCAUAUAGUACAUAAUUCGCAUGAAUAAGUGUAUGAAAGGAGCAAUCCGCUAACAGAUGGGCUCGCGUCCGAUUAGUUAGUUGGUGGGGUAAAGGCCUACCAAGACUUCGAUCGGUAGCCGGGCUGAGAGGCUGAACGGCCACAUUGGGACUGAGACACGGCCCAGACUCCUACGGGAGGCAGCAGUGGGGGAUAUUGCACAAUGGGGGGAACCCUGAUGCAGCAACGCCGCGUGAGGGAAGAAGGUUUUCGGAUUGUAAACCUCUGUCCUCAGUGAAGAACAAAAUGACGGUAACUGAGGAGGAAGCUCCGGCUAACUACGUGCCAGCAGCCGCGGUAAUACGUAGGGAGCGAGCGUUGUCCGGAUUUAUUGGGUGUAAAGGGUGCGUAGGCGGCUAAGUAAGUCAGGCGUGUAAUUUAGGGGCUUAACCUCUGGACUGCGCUUGAAACUGCAUAGCUUGAGUGGAGUAGAGGCAGAUGGAAUUUCCAGUGUAGCGGUGAAAUGCGUAGAUAUUGGAAGGAACACCGGUGGCGAAGGCGGUCUGCUGGGCUUUAACUGACGCUGAGGCACGAAAGCAUGGGGAGCAAACAGGAUUAGAUACCCUGGUAGUCCAUGCUGUAAACGAUGAUUACUAGGUGUGGGGGGUCUGACCCCUUCCGUGCCGGAGUUAACAGAAUAAGUAAUCCACCUGGGGAGUACGAUCGCAAGGUUGAAACUCAAAGGAAUUGACGGGGGCCCGCACAAGCAGUGGAGUAUGUGGUUUAAUUCGACGAUACGCGAAAAACCUUACCAGGUCUUGACAUCUAACUAACGAAGUAGAGAUACAUUAGGUGCCCUUCGGGGAAAGUUAAGACAGGUGGUGCAUGGUUGUCGUCAGCUCGUGUCGUGAGAUGUUGGGUUAAGUCCCGCAACGAGGCGCAACCCCUACGGUUAGUUGCUACGCAAGAGCACUCUGACAGGACUGCCGUUGACAAAACGGAGGAAGGUGGGGAUGACGUCAAAUCAUCAUGCCCUUUAUGACCUGGGCUACACACGUACUACAAUGGCCGCCAACAACGGGAUACAAUGGAGCAAUCCGGAGUCAAACCCCAAAAGCGGUCUCAGUUCAGAUUGCAGGCUGCAACUCGCCUGUAUGAAGAUGGAAUUGCUAGUAAUCGCGAAUCAGCAUGUCGCGGUGAAUACGUUCCCGGGCCUUGUUCACACCGCCCGUCACACCAUGGGAGCCGGUAAUACCCAAAGUUUGUUGUCUAACUCUCACGGGGGACGCUACCUAAGGUAGGAUUGG
This 1424-nucleotide ribosomal RNA is filed under the name uncultured bacterium. Its description in RNAcentral is "bacterial SSU rRNA". It matches the Rfam family "Bacterial small subunit ribosomal RNA". The record is from RNAcentral.